UACGAAGGGAGCGAGCGUUAUUCGGAAUUACUGGGCGUAAAGAGUGCGUAGGCGGUAAGCUAAGUCAGUUGUUAAAAUCCUCGGCUCAACUGAGGACUUGCGACUGAUACUGGCUUGCUAGAGUGCAGGAGGGAGAGGUGGAAUUAUCGGAGUAGCGGUAAAAUGCGUAGAUCUCGAUAGGAACAUCGAUAGCGAAGGCAGCUUCUUGGUCUGUGUCUGACGCUGAUGCACGAAAGCGUGGGGAGCAAAC
Molecule: ribosomal RNA, 250 nt
Filed under: uncultured bacterium
Lineage: Bacteria
Description: partial 16S ribosomal RNA
Rfam family: Bacterial small subunit ribosomal RNA
Source: RNAcentral